Molecule: long non-coding RNA, 250 nt
Filed under: Lathyrus oleraceus (garden pea)
Lineage: Eukaryota; Viridiplantae; Streptophyta; Magnoliopsida; Fabales; Fabaceae
Description: Pisum sativum (pea) long non-coding RNA (PSAT_LNC013553)
Source: RNAcentral
AAGGAGGGCUUAGGUAUCUUUUAAUCUUAGGUAGAUAGUUGAAUACUUGAAAUCCUUUUUUUCUCUCUAGGUGUCGUUGUCUUUUUUUGUGAAUCACUCUUGUUUUUAUUAUCGGUGAUGCUAUUAUUCAACAACUGCAUAAUAAUUCUCUCUUUUAUGCCUCCUUUUGUUUUAAAUAUAAAUAUUGUUUUAUUUACUUUUGAAGUGAAAAUUCAACUUUUCUUUUGAAAAAUAUUUCAUUGAGUUGAGG